Molecule: ribosomal RNA, 447 nt
Filed under: uncultured Hyphomicrobiales bacterium
Lineage: Bacteria; Pseudomonadati; Pseudomonadota; Alphaproteobacteria; Hyphomicrobiales
Description: bacterial SSU rRNA
Rfam family: Bacterial small subunit ribosomal RNA
Source: RNAcentral
AACGAACGCUGGCGGCAGGCUUAACACAUGCAAGUCGAGCGCCCCGCAAGGGGAGCGGCAGACGGGUGAGUAACGCGUGGGAAUCUACCCAUCUCUACGGAAUAACGCAUGGAAACGUGUGCUAAUACCGUAUACGUCCUUCGGGAGAAAGAUUUAUCGGAGAUGGAUGAGCCCGCGUUGGAUUAGCUAGUUGGUGGGGUAAAGGCCUACCAAGGCGACGAUCCAUAGCUGGUCUGAGAGGAUGAUCAGCCACACUGGGACUGAGACACGGCCCAGACUCCUACGGGAGGCAGCAGUGGGGAAUAUUGGGCAAUGGGCGCAAGCCCGAUCCAGCCAUGCCGCGUGAGUGAUGAAGGCCCUAGGGUUGUAAAGCUCUUUCACCGGUGAAGAUAAUGACGGUAACCGGAGAAGAAGCCCCGGCUAACUUCGUGCCAGCCGCCGCGGUAA